This 253-nucleotide ribosomal RNA is filed under the name uncultured bacterium. Its description in RNAcentral is "partial 16S ribosomal RNA". It matches the Rfam family "Bacterial small subunit ribosomal RNA", at positions 524 to 776 of the family's 1533-position model. The record is from RNAcentral.
UACGUAGGGACCAAGCGUUGUUCGGAUUUACUGGGCGUAAAGGGCGCGUAGGCGGCAAUUCAAGUCAGCUGUGAAAUCUCCGGGCUUAACUCGGAACGGUCAGCUGAUACUGCUUUGCUAGAGUACAGAAGGGGCAAUCGGAAUUCUUGGUGUAGCGGUGAAAUGCGUAGAUAUCAAGAGGAACACCUGAGGUGAAGACGGGUUGCUGGGCUGAUACUGACGCUGAGGCGCGAAAGCUAGGGUAGCAAACGGG